UGGGGAAUUUUGGACAAUGGGCGAAANCCUGAUCCAGCAAUGCCGCGUGUGUGAAGAAGGCCUUCGGGUUGUAAAGCACUUUUGUCCGGAAAGAAAUCCUUGGCUCUAAUACAGUCGGGGGAUGACGGUACCGGAAGAAUAAGCACCGGCUAACUACGUGCCAGCGCCGCGGUAAUACGUAGGGUGCAAGCGUUAAUCGGAAUUACUGGGCGUAAAGCGUGCGCAGGCGGUUUGCUAAGACCGAUGUGAAAUCCCCGGGCUCAACCUGGGAACUGCAUUGGUGACUGGCAGGCUAGAGUAUGGCAGGAGGGGGGUAGAAUUCCACGUGUAGCAGUGAAAUGCGUAGAGAUGUGGAGGAAUACCGAUGGCGAAGGCAGCCCCCUGGGCCAAUACUGACGCUCAUGCACGAAAGCGUGGGGAGCAAACAGGAUUAGAUACCCCUGGUAGUCCCACGCCCUAAACCGAUGUCAACUAGUUGUUGGGGAUUCAUUUCCUUAGU
This 499-nucleotide ribosomal RNA is filed under the name uncultured bacterium. Its description in RNAcentral is "partial 16S ribosomal RNA". It matches the Rfam family "Bacterial small subunit ribosomal RNA", at positions 355 to 844 of the family's 1533-position model. The record is from RNAcentral.